RNAcentral lists this ribosomal RNA (160 nucleotides) under Amanita volvata. Its description in RNAcentral is "5.8S ribosomal RNA". It matches the Rfam family "5.8S ribosomal RNA". Rfam says of the family: 5.8S ribosomal RNA (5.8S rRNA) is a component of the large subunit of the eukaryotic ribosome. It is transcribed by RNA polymerase I as part of the 45S precursor that also contains 18S and 28S rRNA. Functionally, it is thought that 5.8S rRNA may be involved in ribosome translocation. Lineage: Eukaryota; Fungi; Basidiomycota; Agaricomycetes; Agaricales; Amanitaceae. The record is from RNAcentral.
ACAACUUUCAACAAUGGAUCUCUUGGCUCUUGCAUCGAUGAAGAACGCAGCGAAAUGCGAUAAGUAAUGUGAAUUGCAGAAUUCAGUGAAUCAUUGAAUAUUUGAACGCAUCUUGCACUCCUUGGUAUUCUGAGGAGUAUGCCUGUAUGAGUGUCAUUUA